Molecule: ribosomal RNA, 253 nt
Filed under: uncultured bacterium
Lineage: Bacteria
Description: partial 16S ribosomal RNA
Rfam family: Bacterial small subunit ribosomal RNA
Source: RNAcentral
UACAGAGGUCCCGAGCGGUGUUCGGAUUCACUGGGCGUAAAGGGCGCGUAGGUGGUUCGAUAAGUCUGGUGUGAAAGCCCAGAGCCCAACUUUGGAAUUGCACUAGAAACUAUCGAGCUCGAGUCUAGGAGGGGGGAGUGGAAUUCUUGGUGUAGCAGUGAAAUGCGUAGAUAUCAAGAGGAACACCGGUGGCGAAGGCGACUCCCUGGACUAGUACUGACACUGAGGCGCGAAAGCCAGGGGAGCAAACGGG